UGGGGGGCACUAAAGGCGACAUGGGAGCUUACAGAGAGCUGUGGGCCUGAGCCCCCCCGACUGCCCGGCAAAAUAACAGUGCUAAGGAGGCACAAGCAAUUCUGCAGAACUGAUCUAGAUAGAACAGAAAAUUAGGUGCAUUAUGGUGGGGAAAGAAGAGAGUUACCAGCAGUCCUGUGAGGACAUGACAGACACUAUUACAACAAAGGCCCUGGGAUAAUGUGUAUGAAGAGGAACACAAAAUCAGCAAAAUAGGGUUCAGCAAGAUCACCUUAAAUGCUUACAAACAACUGAUCUUCCAUGCAGAAGCAAGGAGUGCCUACAGGGCACUGUGAUGGGAAAACCCAGCAGGACACCAGUGUGCCCCUCGGGAGUGCCUGCACACAUGCAUGCAGCAUUGGCAAUAACCAUGAGGAGCUAGAGAUCUGCCUGCCAUCACAGGCCAUGACCUUUUUGGGAUCACAGAGACAUGGUGGAAUGGCUGUCAUGGCUGGAGUGCUUCAACAGAGGAACACAAGCUCUUAGGAAGGACAGGCUUAGAAGGCAAGAAGAAGUUGCCCUUUGUGACAGAACAGCUUGUGUGCAUGGAGCUGUGCCUGGGGAUGGAUGAUGAGCCAACUGAGAGCCCAGGAUGUAGUCCAUAGUCCUGGGCAGAGAAUCGGGCAAAAAAGCAUCAUGAAAUAUUUUACUGAGCACUAGAAGAUGUUGUCAAAGAGAGGUUGUGAAAUCUCCAUAUCAAAAAAGAAUAUAUUAAAAAGCCACUUGAGCAUGGUCUUGGACAACAAGUGACAUUGCUUAAGCAUGGGAGUUGGAUGUUUCUUCUAGCCUCAACCAUUUUAUGAUUUUGUGAUCAUACCAAGACUGAAGACAAGUGUUGUCUGGCUAAUCCAAAGGGAGUCUUGGCUUUGGCUUAAUAAAAUAGUCAAAAAUACAUAAAUUACAAA
Long non-coding RNA from Passer domesticus (house sparrow), 944 nucleotides. RefSeq lists it as uncharacterized. NCBI's taxonomy places the organism in Eukaryota, Metazoa, Chordata, Aves, Passeriformes, Passeridae. The record is from RefSeq and is a predicted model, not a curated record. The transcript is spliced from 2 exons.